This is a long non-coding RNA of Gallus gallus (chicken), 26356 nucleotides long. The record is from Ensembl. NCBI's taxonomy places the organism in Eukaryota, Metazoa, Chordata, Aves, Galliformes, Phasianidae.
GUGGUAGACUCCUGAGGAGUCUGAAGAGAAAGGCACAGGCCUCUCCCUCCUUUCACCCAUGCACUCAAUGACUUGGAUUUCUUUGUAACUUAAGCCGGUGGGACACAACCAUGUGUCUUGGUCUUGGGGCUCACACUGGUUGCUUUUUUUUUUUUUUUUUUUUUUUAAACCCUCUCUGCCCAAGAAAAUUCUGAAUUGGUUUACUAAACUGUCCUGACUCUUGUGCUGAAGUCUGAGUUUGUAAGCCCACAUCUUUGAAAAGGGUUGUCAGACUGGAUGAUCAAGAUGGGCCCUUCGAGUCCUGAAGCCUAUGGAGCUCUGAUCUAAAAUGACAUGAUCACACACCACUUUCCCCUCAGCGAUGCUGACUUCAGUGCACCAGGUAGAUCUGUACUGUGGCUGAAUUAGUUUGCUCUCUUUUGGAUAACUGUUCCAUUUGUUGGAGAAUUUGAGUUAUAUAUAGAGUGGGAAUGUUAAGCACUCCUUCCCCACCCUGUCCCCUCCCCCCCCAAAAAAGAAAAAAAGAAUCACUCUGGAGAAUUGUGUUCUAUCCUUGACUCUGCUACAUACUUUUUGCUUAAAAUAAAUUUGGGUGUCCACAUGUGAUUAUUCAUUUCUGAAGAUGUAAGUAGUUUAAAAAUUCAUUUAAAAGCAAAAAUAUGUGUUUUGUACACAAAUGAUGGCACAUACUGAUAAAUUCUUUGUACAUUUUUAAAAGACUCUUUAUCCAAAUUUGCACAGAAUUUUGAAUUCAUGCAUCUGGGGAUAAGAGUACCAGCUCACUACAGUGGUACAAAGAUUGGUAAAGAGCUACAAAAACCAUACAAAUAAAAGAACUACACAAGAAAGUAAGUAAUUGUGUUUUCAGAACAGAGACCAACUGAUGUGCAGUAAAUAAGACAGUACUACACAUUCUUUAAUGAAGACAAAGCAAAAUAGGAAAUAGCUGUUCAUAACUCAACUGCAUUAGAUGAAAAAUCCUCCUAUAGAAAGUAAAUUAAGUAUAUAAGAACAGUUAAAAGCAUAUGAAAAUGGUCUUAUUGAUUUCCAUAUCUAUUCUAUUAAUGUACAAAUCCAGAUAAUGUCUUGUUUUCAGCUCAUUUAAAAUGUUACCUGAGUGCAGAUGAAUUAUAGCAGAUGGACAUCUCCACUGAUCAUUCAAAUGCCAGAGAGCUCUCUACACUCUGCUUUAAAAUCCAUACUAGCUAAUUAUAACCAGCAUAAAUCAAAAAGAAUGUCUACUGCACAAAGUAACUUGAAGCACUUUAGUAUCAAGCUGAUUUUUGUCUGAAAAUCAUCUCUCUUGAUUUAUCAUCUGAAGAAUGCUUAUCAAAAGGCCUGUUAGAAAACAUACCUAUAAUUUUAGUUAUAGAGCUUCUCUCUCACUCUGAGCAUUUCCCUUGAUAGCUAAACAGUGUUUUUGAAACACUGUGGUGUUAUGUCAGACCCCUUGCCUCACAUAAAUAUGAAGCAAUCCAAAGGAAAUGACUGCGGUCAUAUAGCACAUGGUCCCACAUUGAGAUCCUGAAUCAGACAUAUUACUUUUAAUACUUUUGAAUCAGAUAUGUUACAAAUAAAUAAAUGGGAAAACUACAUCCUGUAGAAUAAACUCUUAAAAUGGAAGAGUUGGGGAUACCUGCAGGGUAGUUUAGCCUUUUAGACUUUUAAACCUGCUUUGUAGAGAGAAUCUCUUUUGACUAUAAAUUCAGGUCAUGGUGUUAUCAAAGGUGGUAGAAGACUAGACAGAAGCAUCCUGUAAUCUCUUCAGAAAAUAUUUGAAAAAGGCUUACAUAUACCCCCAGCAGAAAUAUAUUUUCCUGUCCCUCUAUCAGAUUUAUGUAUUCUAGAACAAACAUUAAAGGAUUGUUCUUUGGGGACGACAGUCACUUGUAUCAGUGGCUUAACAGUCAUUGUAAUAAAGGAAUAAAAUGUUUUGUUCAGCUGGCAGGCCUAUAUUCUCUGUGAUAAAUGUGGGAUCUUCUGCAGUGGUGGGAAGGAUUUGAUUCUUACACUGAAAGAAUGCUGCUGAAAAUCCAUAGCUGUGUUUUUUUUACACUGCAGGAGUCACCAAACAAGGAUUUUGGAAGAUGCAUAUGAUUUACCAGUCUACUAUGCUAACAUCAUUUUGACAGGUGUGAUGCAUCAACACAGUAUUAUAAGCUUAAGAUAAAUUACAGCAUUCUUUUUCAUCAAGCAGCAAACUGCAGUGGAGUAUUGCACAAAGCUCAGUGUGUUCAGUCAGUAGGCAUUUGUGCCUGCAGCCUAAAAUAGAAUGUCUUUCUGUGAUGGGUUAAUCCCUCUUUGGCUCUGAUCCUGGGUAGAUUACUAGUUAUAGCAUGCCAUGAAAGACUGCUGUGUAAGGCAAGUAUUUCACUUAAGUCACUUACCACAUUUUCUGGACAACAGAAAUUUCUUGUGCAUCUGCUAGAAAUGUGGGGAUAAUUUAAUUGCCUUUGCUAAGAUUUCCAAUGUAAUUUAAUAAUCAUUUUUAUUAGAAUGUGCAUAUUGUUAGAAGUUAUCAGAACACUGUUACUCCUGGUGCAUUCUGAACAGCAGGUAGAAAAAUCAGACUUUGAUUUUGACUAGGGGUCCUAAUCAUUUCUUUUCAUAAUUUAGAGCACAAAAUGUGUUUGGUCAUUCUCUAUCACUUAUUAUCAUUAUUAUUAUUAUUAUUUUUAAUUCUGGUUGUCUGAACUGUAUGACAAGACCGCAUUCUACUUUACAUUUACCCAAAGGUCAAUAAAUAUCAGAACUUGGCAAAGAAACAAUGAAUAUUCUUCAAACAUUUCCCUGCAAGAAAAAUAGGCUCAUUUCAGCUGAGUGGAUGUCUCUAUUUGAAGGAUAUUUUUCACUGACAUUCAAUUAAUUGAAUUUUCCUGAAGUGGAUGUAUGUAGAAGCUAAGUGAUAAAUUUUAGGAAGUGUACACUUUUAUUUCCCUUAGUUUUAGUGCCAAGUAGGGCUGCAUUUAUAGUGCUUCAUUUUUAAGAUGGUCUAUACAGUGAUUUUUAUCAAAUGGUCCUAUUUGAAAUGUUCUAGCUUGGUAUCCAAAUCAUUAUCUUCAUUUGCAAGUCAGCAAAAUUCUGUGGAUUACAAACACUUAAGCUUUCAGAGCUUGACAUGUGGUCAGAGAAUGGAAAUGGCACUGUGCAAUGGCCAUAACUAGCCAAAUCUCCCAGAUAUUUUGUGGGAGCUUUAUGUAUGAAGAAAUGUUGAGAUGUUAGAAAAAUAGGACAUUAACCAAAAGUAAUGAAAAUGUCAGCAAAAAGUACUGAGUUAAAAUUUAUAAAGAUAAUUCUUGAGGAAAUUAAUUUGUAAACAUUUGUGAAGGGAAAGGAGAAAAGCUUGUGAGAGAAACAAAUACUUGAAAUAAAUAUGGGUAACUAUAAGGAGCAGGAAUUGUUUUUAUUUUUUUUAUUCUAAUAUCAUUGCUAUAUUUUGUCUUUUUUUCCAUUCUAUUUCUAUUUAGAUUUUAGCUCAAAAUGGAGAUGGACUGAUCUAAAAUAUUCGUCAAAAAUGCUUAAACACAUUGAGAACCCAAAUAUACUUUUAAAUAUGGUCAAUGUGUGUCUUUUGUACAUAGAUCUGUGUUCAUAGUACUAGAAAACUGUUGAGGCCAAAUAGUAGAGAGCUUGGACCCUGACGGUAUGCAGUCUUGUUUACACAGAUUAGACUGAAUAGAAAGUCUAUGGCUGGCUGUGAAGACUGCAAGAUUUUCAGGCUGAACAGGCUCAUAUGGAAGCAGCUGAGGCUUUGUAUGAAAAAGUUAGCUUUGUAAAUGAGGAAAGUGAAUAACUGAAUAAAUGCUCAAAUCUUACUCCCUUUUGGUAUAAGAAAGUGGGAGAUACUCUGCAUGGGUGAUUAACUGUAGUGCAGUGAUCACUUUUCAGUCCAGCCUCGACUCCAUUUUAGACAUCAAAAAAAGGUUUAUAAAGCAAAGUAGUCUUCAAAAUUUUCUGUUAACAAUCAUUCUGAGGAAGAGAUUAAAAAAUGUCAAUGAAAUCAGAAAGUCAAGAGGUUUAUUUGGCAUAAUGGGUGAACAGGGAAGUUCUGUUUUUCAAGGAAGAUCAGGGAGUUCAAUGGUAGGUACAAGGCCACAGUACUAAAUGCUGACAUGGACUUUCCAAGGUUGCCCAGAGUAGUGCUAAAGUCAAUAAUUCCAUAUUGCACCUGUCAGAAGCUACAACAUAAUUGCUUUGAAGUGAGGCAUAUUAACAUCCAUGUGCUCAGCAAACUAAGCAAUUAUAAACAGGUCUCUGCUCUCCCUGUUGGCUGUUAUAAUUAUUUGUUCAAUUUGUUGCUUUGCCUCAAUUCUAGUUAAUGUGACUUAUGAGCACUUAGCACAUGCUGGAAAGACAAGGGAGAGAUGUGGCUGCUGGUAGUCUGGCAGUAGUCCACAAACUGUGACCUUAUAGUGACAGGCAAAGAUGGGGCUGAUAGUCAGGAAGGAGUACAGGAUUGUAGGGCAGGAUGCUGCCAGUUGGCAUGGAAACACUAACUCUCAAAGCAUUAAGAUUUUAAAGAAACCAAACUUUUCUUUUCUUUUCUUUUUCCUAGAACAAGAUAGCAAAUGAUUUUGUAACAGUUGCAGAGACUGCUGAUUUUGCCUUUACAAGAUCAUACACACAGUACUACAGGAAUUUGAAAAAAACAUAUAUCUCUCAAUAUAUUACAUGGGAAAUGAGGAAAAUUGUGUUCUUAUGAAAUUUGUUAUCACUGAGUUCGCCCAAUAUGCAGGUGAUUACUUGAAUUUUCCAAGCAGCAGAUGUUCGGAAAUGGGGAGACAGAAGCUGGCCAAGAAAGCUGCCUCAGCAGCAGUGUGGGUUAUAAAUUCAGCAUGGACAAUCUGUUCUUCAAAGUAGAGCUAAAGUGAUUUAAAAGGUUCGUCAAGGUCACGUAGGAAUACUGUACAGGAGUGCUCCAAAGCACCAGCUGUCAGGACUGUCAAGUCUUGCUAAUGAACAGUGGAAUUUGUAGAAAAUAAUACUAAUGCUAAUUGAAACCUGAACAGCUUAGAAGUCUAGCAGGUUAUUGCUAUUGAUUCAUAUCCUAUGAUAAUGUCUCCUACAGAGCAUGCAGAAGUGCCUGUCUACCUGUAGUAUUAGCUAAUCCAUUGUUGAUGCCAUUCAUACAAGUAUCUGGAAGGUCUGAAGCCCUCUUCAGAGAGAGGGGCGUUCUAUUACUAUAGAAAUGAUGGAUCACUUUCUGAUUUUGUAAUAAAUUCUGAGCAGUAUCUUCACCUCAGAAAAGGAGAGGAAAGUGCCAAGAUAGCUUACAGUUCAUUAGGAUUUUUUCCAAGGGCUGGAGUGGGUCUGAAUAAUCUCAGUUAUAAUUUAAUUAAUCUAAUUAUCUUAGUUUCUGUUUUGGGGAAAGAGGUGGAGGCCUUUUUUAUAAAAAGGAUUAAUAAGGAACCAUUAAUAAGGAACCUAGCAGCAGUUGUGUCUUAGGUAUAUGUGCCAAGUCUGACCCUAGAGUUGAAAGAGAGAUAUGUAAAUUCUGGACCUUAAAAUGCUAAAUUGCCCCUAAAUUGCCAAUUAUGAUCACGUGUGUCUGCAUAGGAGAACAAAUCAGAACUCACCCUAGCUCUGGUCUCAUGGUCCAACUGCAGGCACACAGCACUGAGUUUAAUCAAACAAGCCUCACUUCUUCAUUCAGGAAUCUCUGAAGCUCCAUGGUAUGUAUUCCCUAUGUUCUUCUUUAAAUUCGGUUCCAUUUUAAAAUUAGAACUUACAUGGCACUAAGAAUAAUACCGAUAUCUAAGUAGACUGUCUCUCAAGGGUUACAUGACACAUGUAACAAGUAUGUUCAAUUUCAAUGCAGUUUGUAGACUUCGUUAAAGAGAGCAACAUUAUCCCACAAACAGCAUCCAAAACAUUCAAAAAAAUUUUAUAGACCAACAGUGAGGGCCUUGAUAAUGAAGAAAUUUGGUCAGUUUUUUCUCUACAUUGACUUAUGAAAUUUCUUUAAUUGAGUUUUAUGAAAUUCAUCUCAGAAAUUUAGUAAAUAAAAAUCACAGGUUGCAAAUGGUAUUUGUGUAGAUAUGUAAAAGAUCUACAGGAAGACCCUUUGAAUUUUGGGAAUGUGAGCCUAUUUCUACUACUCAAGUGGUACAGAUCCUGAGUGUCACUUAUUAAGUUAUUACUGCAAAACCACAGACUUCUCAUGUCACCAGUUGGACCUCCCUUUGCUUCUUGUCACUGCUUUUACUGUGCUGCCAGAACAAAUACAUUCAUUGAGUGGUAAGUUAUAAUUUUCCAGAUUUAUGCAGUGUUGGAAUAUUCCCCAUGGUAUCUUUCUGUGCACAUUUUGCAAUUCAGCUGCUUAAGGAAAAUUCUGGGAUUUGAAUUGCAAUUAUUUUUAAGUAACAAGUAAUUUAGUAUAAAAAUGGUCUGGUGAGUGUCACAGUUGUCUUUAUGGUCUUAAGUUUCAACUUCACACUGUGAAGACAGUAAGGUUUGUUCGUCAGCCAGAUCUUGAAGCUGAGAAUAGAAUUAAUUAACUGAGAUUGGCAGUAUAUGCUUUCCCUAUGUCAGGACAAAACUUUACCAGUGUUUUGAAAACAACCUUCCAGUUGUUUUUAUAUUAUUCUGACACUUUCUGGGAGUAGUUUUCAUAAACUGUUUUUACAAAUCACUGACAAAUAGGAUCGUAGAAUCAUAGAACAGUUUGGGUUGGAAGGAACUUUAAAGACCAUGGAGCUCCAACCGCCUGCUGUGGGCAGGGCUGCCAAUCAUCAGAUCAGACUGCCUGGGGUCCCAUCCAACCUGGCCUCAAAUAACUCCACAUAUGCCUAAUAUUGAACAAAAUGAAUAUAAAUAGUUCAAGAUUCAAGGAACUUAGGAUAUAUAAAGGCACCUAUAUAAUGCAGUUCAGUGCACAUUGAAUGUUCCAAGUAUGAUCAGUGUAAGACCUUGUCUUUCCAUUUUCACAUUCAUAUUUUCAGGUUAGCACGAAGAAAGUUACUGUUCUUUAAUACAAAUGAGAUGAUCAAAAUUAUAUUUAUCUAUCUGAAAGAUUUUGAAGAUUUAAUACCUCUGUUAGUCCAUCUGCAGAGCCAACAGAAAUCCCAAGGUGGCCAUCUGGACAGAUUUCACUUCUAACAUUCAGCCACCAUUACUGUCUCUUCUCUUAGAAAUAUGUAAUUUGUGGGAAGCAGACAGAAGCAGUGUUAAGACAGCUGCCUGAAGUCUAGCUUUCUGGUCAGAAGUGAAAUGAAUAUUGAUGAAAGAAAGGAAAAUAAAGAAAUCAAGAAGUACAAAUGAAACACAUCUGUAUGAUUGCUGUUUUCCCAGAGAAGAGCUGAAAUGCAGAUUUUUUUCCUUCUGCACUUUGGAAGAUCCUCAGAUCCUCACAGUUUACCUGAGAUGGAAAGAUUUAUGUUAUCUCAAAGUAAUGCCAGAAUGUACUCAUUCUAAUAAUUUCAGAACUAAUGAUCACAGACAGAUGACUAAAUCAACCUAGCAGCUCUUUUUCUGUGCUGAAGUCUUUCUGUAUUUACAGAUAAUAAAAGACUAGAAGUCUUAAUAACAUCUAGUAUAAUCAGCUUAAGAUUUUGAGUUUUAUAAUGGACACAUGAAACUGAUAAUUGUUUCCAGUAGGCACAUCUAUCUGGAGCUGGAAAGCUGUUUCAAAUUCACUUUUUCUAUAGAACAAGGGCUGCUCCAGAAGUAAUGCCUCCUGUUUUAUUAUGUUGGCCUACAAUGUCAGAAGCAGGUGUUCGUGGCACGGCAGCAGGAGCUGGACAUUCCCACCAAAAUUUCAUUAUAUUUUGUUGCUCUGUGACAGAUGAAAGAAGAGGGACAGUCUGAGAAAAUGGCAUUUGACAUAGAAGUAAAUAUGUGCAAUUGAAUUCCUCCAUGCAUAGAAAAAUUGUACCCAUUGACAUUCAUUGACACUUGCUGCAAGUUCGUAGAGACCAUACAGUGGGUGUGAGCACACUAAGGUGGAGGAUGGUGUGUUACAGCAGUGGCAACAGUGACGUGAAAGACAAACCACGUCUUAUGAGAAAGGCAUGCAGGCACUUGUUCAUCAGUGUCAAAAAUGUGCAAUUAAUGGUUGCUACUACACUGAAAAUAAAUGUUUUGUGGCUGAGAAUAUUCUCUAUCAAAUAGUGCUAUUGUGCUGUUUGCAGGUGGUGAAUUUUUCAUGGAAAUAAAUAGGAGGCAUUACUUUCAGAGUGACCUAUGUAUGUUCUCCACUUUUUUUGAGAAGACCUAUUGAAGUUGGCAUAAUAAAAUAAUUUAUUCAGACAUUCAGUUUUCCUUAUAGUUCUGUCUUAGGCCCUUCCUUAUUGGACAGGCUACGUUUGACUUUUCAGAGGAGAUUAGGUCAAAGUCUCCAUCAGUUGCAGGGUCAGGAUUCUUUCCAUUUCCAACUCAAAAUCAGUCUUUUUUUUUUUUUUCUUGUAUCAUUGUACGGGAAAAUAAUAAAGAAUGUAUACUUUAUUUAGGUAUGUCUAUUACACAUUUGUGAGGUGGUCCCAUUGCUUUAAUGUAGAUGGAAUCUUUGCAGUAACAUAGAGAAAUGUGUUUACACAGUUAUGUUUAUUCACUCUCAUAUUCUGCCUUUGAAAGGACAAAUGUAUUUGCCUAAACUGUAAAAUGCUUUUUGCUAAUGCCUCUGAAAUCUUUACACUUACUGUUUUCCCUUCUUCCUAUGUCUCUUUAUCCCUUUGGAAUAUGAUCCUUUUCUCUCUGUCAUUUAGAUUCCUAUUCUUGACUACUGCAAGAUUCUUUCCUGCUACAUAGGAACCUAUGUUUUUCAAGUUUUUACUUUUGACCAAAGCUGUGUUCUUUGGCUCAUUUUUUACCCUCUUAUAUAACCUUCACUGAACUGAAAAAAAUGAUACAAGAAUUGUCUUUUAAACUUGAAUGAAGCGAUAUCAAACACUGUGCUGCCUAACAUAGAGAAAUGAAUUGAUUUGGGGAAAUUAAAUAUUGAUAUUAUGCUCUCAGGGCCAGCACAAAACUAGGCAAUUUCACAAAUUUUGCAUGGACCUCUGAGAGUUAGUGUGAAAAUAUAUUAAAGUAAAGGAAGUAGGGCAAGUGGCUAAAAGAAAGGAGUCUGUAGCUGACAUGUCGGCAUUGUAAGUUUUCAGCCCUUCUAAGCAGAGCUCCACUGAAUGUAAAAUGGCAAAGAGGAGAGGGUCUUUUGUGUCUCUCCUCAGAUAGGGGCAUUGACAACCUGAUUCAUUUUCAGUACAUGCUCUUGUACCUGCAUGAAGCAACUGUAGAACUACAGAGGACUUUCACUUGAAUUUGGUCCCUAGCUUAAGCCAAACAAAAAGACUUCUCUUCACAAGCUGCAGAAAUAGUUAAAGGGUAAGAAAUUUCAUGUCGGUCAUCAGUAUCAGAAAGUACUGCUGUGAAUGGUUUUGAUUUAUUUUAGUCUAUCAAGCUGAAUGUUAAUUUUCAUGCUAGAAAGAUGUCUUUACUUCCUUGAUUUAUUAAAUAAAAAUAGGUUAAAAAAAAAAAAAGAUUCUUUUAAAGAUACUCUUAAAUGUAUCUACUAUGAUUUAAAUUAAGCAUUAGCUUUUAUCUCUAAAAUGAAGAGCUCGGUUUACUUCUCUUAGUGACUUCGGUUUUAGAAGAAAAAAUUGUGUCCAUGUUCAGUUAUAUGUUCGAAAAACACUUAGUUACAGUCAGUUACAUAUACAUCUCCAAAUACCAGUAAAAUUUCCUCCACUUGUCUGUGUGUGUGUGUGUCUGUGUGUGCAGAUAAAGAUAGAUCGUCAAGCUCUUACCAUCUAGACACUCUUCUAUGUAUUAGGAAGGGAUAUGUUGUGAAGUAGGGCAUAAGCUUAUAAUCUAAGGUCAUAGAUUUGGAACUGCCUUGGAAGUGGUGUGUGAUGCUCAGCAAGACUGCUUUUCUUAACCUUUAUUGUUUGUGAAAUUCAGAAAUGUGCUUCCUGCUCGUACUAGUAAAAAUAACUUGUCUUAUUUUCAAAAUGGAACACGUGUAAAAAACAGCAUGAAAUAUUUUUUUCUACUAAGGAAAGUUUGCCUUGCUUUCUUAAAAAUGAACCCACUAAUCCCUUCUAGAUAUUCAGCAUGAAUGUCAUUUAGCACAGUCUGAGAGCAGAUAAAUAAUCCCAUUCUUCUCUGUUCUCAUUUUCUUAUAUUUCACUGUAUGAAUAAAACCACUUCGUACACUGCUAUGAAAGAGACAAUAUUUAGAAGCCAUAGAGAAGACUAUCAAUUCAUGAAACUGAAUUCUGUAAAGAAAUUCACUCUGAAACAAAAGUAUAUUUUAAAUGUUUUUCAUUUUGAAUAAACUAUACUUCUGUAAAGAUGAAUUUGUUAAAUCAAAAAUUUCUCAAAAUUGUGAUAAAAGAGAAAAAACUUGAAAAAAAACCCAAAAAACUAAACCUCUUCAAUGUCCCCAUUCUCCUCCACAUAAAUCUUCUGUUUAAUAUCAAGUAUCUAAACAUAAACCUAAUUUAAACCCUUUUAAAAUAGUAUUUUCUACUGUGAUUUCUGUAUUAUUAUUAUGUGUUAUAUUUACCUGUAGAUCUUUAACUGAUCUAGAUGAUUUUGAACUUUCUACUGCUGACUAUAUUUAUUCUUUUACAUAUGAAAAUGACUUUACAUAGUACACCAUUUUAUGAAUAUGACUGUAUUUAUUUCUUCUAGUAGGCCGAUAGUCUUUAAGCCUUUUAUUGUUAUUUAUUUUAAAAUGGGUAUUCUGAUGAAUUAUGAGCAUGUGCUGAAACACUAUCUGUAGCUCAAGUUGGAAUACAGCUUUUUGUUCUGUGUACUUUACAGCACUUAAAUCUUUCUCCUUCCCGGACUCUCUGUAUUUUUUUUCAUUUUUAAAAGCCUUCUGUUUAUUGCUUCCACUAAUCUUUAGAUCUCUACUUAACCUCAUUGCCCACUGUUGCCCUUUUCUACAUUUAGAUUUAACCAGCAUGUCAAUUACAGUCUCUCCAGAAAAUUUCUGAAGCAUUUUCCAUUUUUAAUUUUAAAAACCCACCUUUUAAAAUGGUACUUGAACAAUAUCACAGCUUUCUUCAAGUACUGUGUUCAGAGAACUCUGUGUUCUUCCUGGUCCUUAGAAAAUGUCAGUAGAAUUGGAGAAAAGAUGGAAUGUAAAGAUAUAUGUAUAUAUAUUUAUAUAAAAAAUAUAUAUGUAUAUAUAUUUAAAUAUCCAAAAAACCUCGUGAAAUUCAUUGAAUGUACUCGCUAUUGAUACAGUCUUGAGAGAAAGCCAAGUCACAAGUGUUAAAGGGUCUAAGUCUUACACACAAAAACUGAAGCACCUGUGAGAAGUCUGAGAGAAAUCAAGAAUGGUGUAACAGGUGUAUCUGAGAAGAUAAAAUAAAAUACAGAUGACUCCUUAAGUUCUAGAGUAGGGCUAAUAAUACCCAUCUUCCAAGGGUCACUCACUGCUGGAGUUACUGUUUUUUAUUGUUCUAAAUUAUCAUAUUCUUGGCAGUUUUUAAUGCUAUCAGCAAAUUCAUUUCUCAGUUUAAUUUUAUUGUCUACAUUUAGAUAAGAUUUUCAUUUUUAGCAUUUGAGAAGGUAGAAUGCAGAAACCCAUUGUAUUUUGCUGGAUUCUUUAAAGAUGAGUUCAUAAAUAUUGAAAUAACAUUCUAGACUGUCUUUUGUUUGAAGAUUUUCCAUACAUUUUUUUCAGUUAUAAAAACAAGUUUUUCUGAAUUUGUCUUGACAAUUUUAUAAGAUUGUGUAUCAUCUAAUUGUGGCUCAGCCUUGUCCACCUUCAGUUCUAUAAGAGAGAAAUUGACAUCUUGGAGUUGUAGAGUUUUACUGCCCAUGUUCAAUUAUUUCUGUCACUUGGAUCACAAUGUGUAACUCUAAAUAAUGCCUUUCUUUCUUUAGUUAUCUUCUUUACCUUUCUAGCAGGUAUGACAAAACCACACCCUUUAUAAAUCAUAAAUAAUUUACUUCUUAUAGCAUGAAUUUUUCUUAGUUGCUACAAAUGAAAAAUAUUUUUGGUACAGGCAAUUAAUGUUCUGAUGGUGCCAGAAUAGGUGCUGGAAUUUAUUUGUUAAUGGCACUAAUUUUGUAUGUUAAAAAUAAUAUGGUUCUCAGCUCUCUGAAUGUGAGAACUUCUCAAAAGGUCAAAUCUGUGUGGUUCAACUAAAAAGAGAGGUGGAAAUUAACUUUGGAACAGGAGGACAUAGUUUAGUUCAUUGGGAGCCAAUUAGUUCUCUUCCAGAAUACAGAAAGAGUAUUGUAAGCAAAUGGUACUAUAGCUGCAUUUGAGUAAAGACACAUGGAGCUGCAUUACCCAACUCAAUUUUUAUGUUUUAAACAACCAUUUCCAUUACCCCUGUGAAACAUCACACAUGGAAGUCUCUUGAGGCUCUGUGUUUCAUUGGUGACUUUCUAGCCUACUUCCCUCAGCCUGCCUCAUUUUUUAAUUUGCACAGUACACUUGAGUUCUUUGGUUAGACAGUCAAAGAAAAGAUCUGUCAGAGGGAUUAGUAAGAAGACUUAAGGUUGUCUCAAGCAAGCUUAUGGUAAAAGGAUUUAAACAUACCAAGCAUUAGUGAAAGUGGUUGGCUAAAGAGGUGCAAACUUUCUACCUGUAGCCUGCUUUUCUGCAAGUCCCCAGUCAGUGAGCAGUUAUUCACCAGCCAUCUACAAAAUACACAGAGGUGUUCAUAUUCUUAAUGAUGUAGUCUAAAACAGUGCAAGGAGCAAAAACAAUAGAAGCAGAAAGAAAGAAUAUCUCAUACCGUCUUCCCCUACUACGGUACAUACUAUAUAAUAAAAAUGUGUCAUGGUUUUAUGAUUUCUGUUAUUGGUAUUCCACAUCAUAACAUCAUGUAGUGCACUUGGUGUUAAAGAGUUAAUGCUCCAGUUGCAUGGAUUGUCAGUAUUUUUGGGUACCUGGUUCUCACAAGAGAAGAACUACAUAAACCAGCAGACUUUUAUUGUUACAUUUCCUGUUUCCAUUUUCCAUUUAGAGGGAAAGAUAAAACUCCCUAGUCAUGAGAUUGGUUCCUUCUUUUACUGCUUGCCCCUGCAGUGUAUUCUUCCUAGCCAUCUCACCUUCAGUGCUAGAGUAAAGUCUUCAGUUUUGGACACUUUCUCAUUUAUUUGAUUUAUUAGCUUCAAUUCCAAUUAUAUUAGAUUACAUUGUGUUAUCUCACAUUCCACUGGCAUAUUUAGUGAAUUAGUUUUCUCCCUUAGCUUGUUGCCACUGUUUCGUUUUGUUUUUAGGCCCUCCUCUCUACCUUUUUCCCCUUUUUCUCUUCCCCCUAUCCUGGGGCAUGGGUCAGUGGGUCCCUCCACUGCACUAGUCAUGGAACUGGGCCAAACUGGCCCCAAACCCAUGCCAAAGUGUGAGAUUUGCAGCUUAGGAAGUCCUACUUCUGGGAAGCUUUAGUUCUGAAGUACCUUGAUCCUGCAGGUGCUUUUGCAUCCUGUCACCCACAGUCUUGCUUACUCUGAAUACAUGCUAUUGCAUACUCUAAGGCACUCUGAAGCUAAGCUUAUACAAUAUGUUUAUAAUCACAUAUUCAUUUCUAAAUGCAUUUUGAUUUCUACUCACUUCAUUGAUGUUUUACAAUAUUGAAUAAUUAUGACGAUUGGUUUUCAGUUAAAGAGCAAAAAUCUAGAGACUCAAAAUACUCAGGUGCAUGAUGAUUCUCCCAGAAAACAGCUACUCAUCUGUUUGGCUGGAGACUAUUCACAUUUUUACCAUGAAACACAUACUAUGAUAAAUAAAAUUGUAUCCUUGGAUAAUUUCUGUGUGUCAGCAAGCAGUUCUAGCCAGGGUGCCCAUGUAUGGUUUCUGACAUGGAAUGACAUGUGUUCACAACUGCCAGUCAUUCUAACUGAAAGAAGGGACAGUCUGCACACAGCAGGGUCAUGACAUCUAGCAGCCUGAGUAAACAAACUAGUGUUUCUCUCUCUCCUUCUUCCUCUUUCCAGACUGCUAAGGAGAAGUCAUAAACAUUUUACUUUUUUGGUUAUUUACUAGAACAAGAAGUCUCUGCUUUCCUUUUUUCAUCCAAGAUGGCACUAUGGAUAAUUUGUAAUUUAGAAGAUUUAGAACAUUUCACCUACUAAGUAUGAUAAAUACAAGCAACCAACAGAGGAAAAGUUACAUUUUAUUUCUUAUGGCAGAUUGUUGUAUUAUGCUUUGCUGAAAUAUAUACAAUUAAAUUGUCCAUCAACUAUUUUAUCAGCAACUCAUUAGAAGAAACUGUACAUUUAAAAUAGAGUAAUAAUGAACUUAGAUACAUUUUUUCAGCACAGCUGAGAGACUGCUUUCCAGUGCUGCCAUAUAAGGUAAUCAGGAAACACUGGACCCUGGUUCUGCUUAUUCAAGUGUAACCAAGAUUUGGAGUUUCCAAGUCCACUUUAAAAACCUUUAACUACUUAAAGCAUUGGAAUAAAGCUGACCACAAAGAUGGAAAAGAGAUGGAAGAGUGAGAAGAAGGAAAAAGAAGUUUUGAAGCAGAGACCAGAAAAAGAAAGACUGCGAAUGAUUUUGAAGCUCAUACAAGAUGUAGAAUGCCAAUCUCUUCUCUGUGUUCUAGAGGAGCUUUAAACAGCAAGCAAUAGAGUUGGCCAACUGAAGCACAUUAUUCAGCUGUGUUCUCUUUGGAGAUAACUGGUAAUUCUGAAAGGGAGAUGAGGAAGAAAGAAAGAAAGCUAUAACUUCUUGGUUUGUAAAUCUGCUGGUGAUAUAGUGAACUUAGAUUAAUUUCACAGCUCAAUCUUGAUAGUUAAAGUUGUGUUUUGUGUUUGAUCAUCCUAGGCCUGAGAACAUCCCUGUUAACCUUGUUGCAGCUCUCAACAAUGUAAAAAAAACUUCCUACCAAAUUAUAUUUUUAAUACACCUUAUGAUUUGGUAUAGAUAUGAAGGUAGAUGAAGAGGACAUAAAGAGAUACGUAGAAAAAGACCCAUAGUCCUUAAAAGGAGUUUUGCUCACUUCUGUAAAGGGACUGCAACAGUCCUUGUAGUAUUUUUUUUUGCAGGUGCUAUAAGAAUUACUCUGAAUGGCAGAAGAUGAACUUUGGCAGAAAAUACAGCGGAAACUUCAGCAGCUUAGGCAUGGUUAUAUACAGGUCUCAAUUGCUUUUAACUGAAGUCUUGUUUUGUUGUCUACAAAGGUUGUCUUGCUUUCAGAAAAGUAUGAGCUAUGUUUCAAUGAGACAGAAUUCUGAAAAAAAAAAAAAAGUUUGAUGUUAUUUACAUUCACUGUAACUAAUCUGAAUCACUGAUUCUGGUUGGGACUGACAUCCCUGUCUAAGUCCCAAACCUAGUAUGAUUUUGUAUGUAGAGCCAGUUUAAAGUCACAGGCUCAGCUAGGUCUAGCUAGAACUGAUGAAGGAUAGAAGAUACAGAUUAAACAUUUUUCUCUAUUGUGAGACUAUAAAUAAAAAAUUGAAUGUGACCUUAUAACCAAAUGAUUUAUUCAUUGCUAUAUUAUUGAUAUCAAUGUGAAAUGUGUUACUUUGCUGAGAAAGGGAAGGAUUUUGUGAGGAUACUGAAUGGUUGUUUUUUUUUUAGUGUCCUUAAAGUACAAACUGAUGGGGUCUGCUUCCUCUGUAGAAAUGGUAGUUUUCACUCAAAAGAAUAAAUGCUGUCACUUUAUGCUUCACAACUCUAGAAUGUUUCAGUUGUAGUGAAAACCCAGGAGUUUCUUGGCUUUUUGCUUUUAGUGGAGGACACAUUACUCUGUGAGAGACUUUACUUGGACAAAAUAACAUAGAAAAUGUUAACUUAGAAAAUAGACCAAAUAAUCUGCCACAGCUGUAGUUGUUUUUGUUUUGUUUUGUUUUUUACAAAUCAGCAAUGAACAAUUUGAUCUAAUUCAGAAAUAAUCAAAGGCUGCAUAAAUAUUUGGCUGCUACAAGUUUAAAAUAGUACCACGAUAAAAUUUCACGUACACAUGUCUUCUAAGAACAUAUUUCUUGUAAAUUUCACUGCACUGAAUAAUAACUUGAAUUAUUUUUAUCAGUACAAAAGUAAGUCUCCCUACACUACUCUAUUUUUUAUUAACAAUCACUUUUUAAUCUGUAUAUACUAUAUACAGCUAGUAGCUCUUUCAUUUUUGUACUUUCAAUCUGCUUCACAGGGUAUUAAUUAUGCACAAGUUGGCUACAUCUCUUCUGUCAUACCGAACAGCCACAUCUGCAUUUAAUCAUUCAUUAUAUGCUGUAAUCUACCACCUAACUUCCAGUCACUUUUACUAUCUAAAAGCAAGUAGGAGGUACUUAAGAAUCUAUCCCUGAAUAUCUAAUUGCAUACUUAACUGAUUAGUUUUAUAUGACAGUCUCUUAUAAACAUGCUAAUAAGUUGAAGACUCUUAAUUUGUACCUACAUGCUACUGAUUUCUGUAUGAUUAUACAUAAUGAACUCAUCAUGAUCACACUUAGUGCUGCUCUUCUGAGAAUCAUGAAAAUAAAUGCAGAGUUUGGAGAGAAGGAUGUAGACAAAGGCAGAAAUGAUCAGUAAUAUGUUGCUUUGUAAGAGAUUUGAUGAGAAACUUCAUACAGGUUUGCUUUGAGAAAUGGCUUAUUCCAAAUAGUUCAAGAGGAAAUAAAAGGACCAUGAAAACCUGGACAAUGAGGUAAACAAAAGUGAAAAGAAUCCACACAGAUGCUGUUUUACACCUAGCUCAACUAAUAACACCCAUCAUGCUCAGAGAUACAGGAAAAAGUGAAUCCAUGCCAAAUAAACCACCUCAGGUGUCAGUACUGGUGACUUCUAGUUACUUCCAAGCAUCUCAGUUAUUCACAGAACAGAGGCAAUGGGAGAGGUCCAAAGGAACUCUGUAUUGCCAUGUCACUGCUUUUCUGAGUAUUUCAAUACCUCCAUUAAAGUAAUGCCAUUACUAUGACCAAUUCACAAGCUUGAUUGAAAUUUCUUUAACAAUGUACAAUGUUGCAGACAGGAUGAGGUUAUCCAUUCCACCUCUGCUUUUUCUAGGGCAAUAGCUGAGAAAGGGAGUUUUAAAGGUAAACAGAAAUCUGAGGUAAUUCCUAAAGAAAAUGAACACUUACUAACUUUAAAGUAGUUAUUGUUAUACAAAGUGAGUUUUUGGGGUUAGCACAAAAGAAGAACAGCAUUUAAGGUCAAUAAAGGUGCAAUACUUUCCAUUGUUCACUGCAUUUCUACAUAAGUCUUAGAAACAGCACAAUCUGUAGCUCUCUUAUACAUAUAGGUAGCCUCUGGAGCUAUAUCACGGUUGUCCGUGAUUUUUCACUUGUUAUUAAAGGGCAUGAAUUCUUCCAAAGGGCAAGGCUAGUGCAUUUACUCAGACUCCUACGCAAAUUGUCCCAGGAUCCUAAUUUGAUGUACCUCAGUGGAAAGUGAUUAGGGUCAGAGGACUUAAGCUGUAUUCUAACACAUAUUAGAUUUAAAUAAUCCUGUCUCAUCUCUUCUGGCUCCUAACCAGUUUAUUUUAACACUAAGUGAGUUUGUUUGUAAAGUCUAAAUGAAUUUUAACAGCUUCUAGUGACAUUUUACUAGAAAACAGAAAAACUGUAGCAAUUCAGGUUCCAAAGUGUAUCAGCGUUCAAUUUUUGAGGGUUUCUCAGUAGACUGAACUUUCCAGAGAUCCUUAUCAUUCAUAUAAAAUAGAUUGGGAUAAUAUCCUCAGAGUUAAUCUAUUUAAAAUGAAUAGUGAUCUUAGAUCCUUUCGGCAUUGGAUUUGUUAAGAAGAAAGUGAUAUUACUGCAGAGUUAGUCCCACUUCCAAGGCCAUGCAAUGGCUUUUCUCAAGCAAUUAAGAAGCUGUACAACUUCUACCUUUAAGAUAACUGUGGAAGAUAUAAUCUUUUAAGAUUAGACUACUCUACUGAUAGAAUUUAUCUUCUUUUCUCUCAUUAAAUAUUUUAAGAUUCUAAUUAACAGACCCUAUUCAAGAAUUUCUGAGAUGAAUGAAGGCAUAUUCAUAUUUUCUGAGAGCACUUUAUUCAGUCUUAUUUUAAAAGCCUAAAUUACAUAUAAGGUAUAUAUGUGUUUUUAAAUACAUUAGUCAGAAGGAAAUGAGUAAUAAUGCUGCACUGUAUUGUGCUGAUCUGUCCAGGCAUAGAAGAGGAUAAGUUGCUAUAUUUAUUGAUGCAAAACUUGUGGAUAACCUUGGUAAACCUUGCAUUUCCUCUGCAAUAGCUACAAAUGGUGGUUAAUGUUAAGCGAGAAAUUUGCAGAAAGCUUAUUAAAAACACAGCCUGUUUCUGCAGACUUUGUUUCACUUUGACAUUUUAACCACAGUUUACCAGGAUGUGUCAAAACUUCUUGACUAGUCAUAGCAAUCUCCUCAGAAAAUAUGAGGAAAAGGUUUCUGUGCUCUUUCUUUCUUUCCUCCUUCUUUCUCUAUCCAUAAAUAUUUCAUAGAAUCAUACAGUUUUUUGAGUUGGAAGGGACCCUUAAAAGUCAACUAGUCCAACUCCCCUGUAAUUAAUAGGGACAUCCACAGCUAGAUCAGAUUUCUUAGAGUUUGUUCCAGCCUGAUCUUAAAUGUUUCUAGGGACUGGGAGUCCACCACCUCUCUGGGCAACCUGUUCCAAUGCUUCACUGCUGUUAUCAUUAAAAAAAACUUUGUUCUUAUACCCAAUCUAAAUCUCCUCUCUUUUAGUUUGAAACUAUUUCCCCUUGUCCUAUUAGAAAAGACCCUACUAAAGAGUCUGUCUCCUUCCUUCUCAUAGCUCCUUUUAAACACUGAAAGGUCACUAUCACGUUUCCCUGGAGCCUUCUGUUCUCCAAGCUGGACAGUCCCAGCUCUCUCAGCCUGUCCUCUUAAGGGAGUUGUUCCACCCCUUGGAUCUUUUUUAUGGCCCUCCUCUGGAUGCUUUCUGACAGAUCCACACCUCUCCUGUACUGAGGACUUCACAUCUGUCAUUGCUGCAGAGACCAGCUUUAGAGCAGGUAAGACUGCACUGAGUAAGGGACCUAAAGCAAAAAGGCCGACCAAAAAGCUCUUUUUAGGGCUUUUUUGAAGCUAGAAAAAGCACUGUACCAGUGCCAGGGGGCUGGCAGCUUGUGGGUGGGCUGCUGAGCCAGCAGGGGCAGAGCUGUCACUGCCCACUCUUAUCUCGUGAGUUCGACCUUGACCCUUUGCUGUGUGGCUAAAAUCAGCCUUCUGGAUGGCAGAAACAAGCUUCCACCCACUUAACACACCAGGUGAGAAAAGGGUGUUACCUUCCACUGACAAGAGGAAGGGAAGUCAGUGUGUGAGCACAGCCCACACUACCCAUACAGUACUGCAGCAGCGGGUGUGAGUGGUGGGUCUUGUGGCAGGACACAUGAGUGUUUUUUGUCUUUGCUCAGACCGGGUCUCCUAUGGACAGACCCUGAGACCACCAGUUCAAACAUGGUCUCUACCAGGCAGCAGGCUUUCCCCAUGAAAACUGUGGAGACCCAGGCAGAGGGCCUGCCCAGAAAUGCUGCCGUUCAGGUCUCUGGCUGCAGGGAGUGCCUGAGCCUGCUGCUGCCAAGGGAGGAUGGGAAGGAUCCCACCUGCGUGAGGUGCGAGCAGGUAGACAAGCUGCUCAGCCUGGUGGUGGAGCUCAGGGAGGAGGUGGAGAGAUUAAGAACUAUCAGAGAGUGCGACCUUCUAGAGGCUUGGGGCAGAGUGGCUGGAAGACUGUGUAGAGAUGGACCUGAGGGUAUUGAUUGAUGCUCAACUGAACAUGAGCCAGCAGUGUGCCCAGGUGGCCAAGAAGGCCAAUGGCAUCCUGGCUUGUAUCAGAAAUAGUGUUGCCAGCAGGAACAGGGAAGUAAUUAUCCCCCUGUACUCAGCACUGGUGAGGCUGUACCUUGAGUACUGUGUACAGUUUUGGGCCCCUCACUGUAAGAAAGACAUCGAAGCCCUGGAUCGUGUCCAGAGGAGGGCAACAAAGCUGGUGAGGGGUCUGGAGCACAGGCCUUACGAGGAGUGGCUGAAGGAGCUGGGAUUGUUCAGUCUAGAGAAGAGGAGGCUCGGGAGAGACCGAAUUGAGAACGAUUCUAUGAUUCUGUAUUCCUCUUUUCCCAAAAGACUUAAUUCAAUACUCUUCCUAAACUGGUCAUUUGUUGGAAGCAUCUAACUUUACCACUAUAUAAAAUACAUAAACCAUUUUUCAUUACAUAAACUAUUAUCUUAACAGAUCAGGAUAAGAAAUGAAAAGUUGUUUUCUUGUGACACCAGCAAGGACAUCUAUGUAGGGGAAAAAAGGGAAUGUAUUAAGAAAGUAAACAACUGAUCACAGACAUCUCGGAGAAUGUGUGGAUCUUUUACACUGAGUUAUAAUAUCAAACUGCACUAGGGCAACAAGGAAUUCAAAAGGUUAUGCUUCUUUGCAUCUGUAAAUACAUGGAUGUUUGGAAAAUAUGUUUAAUGUUUUUAAAAAAUGAUUCAGCAAAGAAAAAGAGCAGUGCAGUGAGAUAAAAAGAUGAUUUAUCCUGUGGCCAGUGUGCUUCAAAUUGACCAGAGAAAGUAAUCUAAUCAGACUUUAUUAAACUGAUUCUGCAGUACAUCCCCAGUGCCUGGAAGCAUUGUCUGAGCUGGUCUGCAGUCUAAUCCUACUUUAGGAGGUUUGCCAACUAUUUAGCCUUUUCUAAGUAGAAAUAGAGCCACAAAAAUUUAAUUACUGCUAUUUUAAUAAGGAAAAUGUAAAACGUUGAUGAUGUCUGACAUAUGAAAGAAGCUGCAUUAGUGACAACAGUAUUUAAAAAACUCUGAUCAAGCACAACCUUUUUAUUUUGAGCAAGAUAUAGCAGAUAAUGUAGGCUCAAAAACCAGCCUAAAGAGCUGCUGCCAGGUUAUAUAAUCUUUGAGCACUCAUCCAAGGCAGUCCUGAAGCCAAACACAGAGAGGAGAAUUGCUAAGGGGUUGUGUUUGCUUCAACAGUUUCCCCCACUGCAUGACAAUCUCUGCCCCAUAAGCUGGCAGUGUUGAUGGUGGCUGUUUCAGAUUUCUAUAGAAAAAUAAGCUCAAUUCAUGUAAAAUAAUGUUUCCCACAGAUGACCUAAAAAGCAUGCCCAGAAAAUAAGUGCAGACUGUUGUCAGUCCUUGCUGGCAUUUGCAGAUGUCUAAGUUUCCUUCCAUCAUCCUUUGUAUGCUAGGUUAAAUCCUAGAAAGUUGCCAUGUCUCCUGGUAAAAAGAUUGCAUGGAGAAAUUCCUCUUCAAUCACACUACAAUGAACAAAGUUCCCAUGUUACAUUAUGGCAAUAAGUCACUACUUUUCAUGCACAUCUGUCAAUUUCAGGAGGUAUUGCAUUCCCUUGGGUGCAAUCCCCUUCAGUGUUUCACUGAAGAUAGGGUUACUGCUCUGUGUGGUUUCCUUUCACACAAGAGUAAUAUAGCACUUUUUCACUGAAAAAGGUCAGAAAAUUGCAACUUGUUGAUUACACUGUUCAAGAAGUUGCUCUCUCUUUUGCAUUUUGCCUGCAGCACUGCUACUGCACAAUAUUCCACUUUGAGUCUUGGGUCUACUUGUGAUUCUGUUUGUUUCUCCUGGACAAGCAGCACUACUUGUGUAAUCCUCUGAUGCAUAUUGAUGCCUUAAGUUGCUAACUCUGGCUUCUCUCCUUCUGCAUACUUCUAUUUCUUCAUGAACUUGUCCUUCAAGGCACAUGUCAGUAUUUGUUGUGGAAUGGACAAUGGCUGCCAGUACUCAAGUACUGUCUUUCCUUUUUGCCUCAACCAGGGUGGGCUUGCAUUUAUAGCCCAGUAGGCCAACUGUAUCCUAGGCUACAUCAAGAGAGGGGUGGCCAGCAAGGCAUGGGAGGUGAUUGUUGUCCUCUACUCUGCCCUCAUGAGGCCCCAUCUGGAGUACAGAAUCCAGAUCUGGGGCCCCCAGCACAAGUGGAGCAAUUGGAGGGGGUCCGGAGGAAGUCCAUGAAGAUGAUUAGAAGGCUGGAGCAUCUCUCCAAUGAAGAAGGAGGUGUUCAAGGCCAGGUUGGAUGGAUCCUGAGCAAUCUAAUCCAGUGCUUGAUUUAGAGGUUGGCAACAUUGCCCCAUGGCAAGAAGAUUGGAACUAGACGAUCCUUAAGGUCCCUUCUAACUCAAGCCAUUCUGUGAUUCUGUGUUUCAAUGAUUCUAUGAUAGAUGUAUGUGGAAACAGGGAAGUCUUGAGUUUUCAGGGUACAAAUGAUUUAGAUUUCCAUGGAAGGAAUUUUGCCUUCCAGAGUUCAUUCUGGGAUUUAAUUCUGUUUUAAAAUCAUUUGACCAAUGCUAGCGUGCUUCCAUAAUACUCACUGAUGGGUAUUGUUUCACUUAUAUGCAUUUUACUUCAGGGAACAUUGUGAAAAUAUUUCACUUCUUAUGUCUGCAAAAAUAUGGAUUAGAAUUGCUCAAUCCAAAAAAAAGAACAAGCAAAUAAUGUCAAGUUCACAAAAUUAAAGGCAAUUAUAGACUAUUUUAUAUACAUUUAAAAAAUAAAGCAAUAAAUGGCCAGUUUUGAACAUUCUCAGUGAUCACUAGAGAUUAGCUGUUAUGUUUUAUAUUCUCUGUUAUCUUUCAAGCAGAAAACCAAAUUUCUAGCCUGUUUCUUUAAAAUUCCUAGGUUUUGUAUGUGUGGUGCUCAUUCAAUUAUUUUAUAUAUUUAUUUUGCUUGUUUGAUGGCUUUGCAUUUGGAAGGCUGCCUGAGGAGAGAUGCCUGAAGGAAAAGAGGAAAUCCAGACAACUAUAAAAAUAUCCUACAUGUUUUCACAGCAAAAAAUGCAUGGGCACAAUGGCAGAUCUCUCCCAUGUUAACGCUGCAGCUGCAUAUAACAGAGGAGACUGCAUCACUAUCACCCUGGUGUGACAUUUUUGUGAGAUGCAGUUAGUACAAUGCUGUGACAUUUACAGUGUUGUGCACUGCAUUUAGUGGCAGAUCUGCUAACAACAGCAGAUCUAUUCCUGGCCACAUAGAGUGGAAUGCUGCCUACUCACUCUCUCCUCUCUGCAUUGGUUUCCUGCCCUAAUGUACGUUACAUUUAGAACUUUGAUGUUAACUGAAGGCCAGCCAAAAAAGGACUUGGAAUCUGAAUGCUUUCAUAUUUCUGGAUAUGGGGUGGUUUUGAAUUUCCAGAUUAGUAGUAACUCAUCUGAUGUUAGUGUUGAGUUGUUUCCAGAACCAUAUGGGACCUAAUUUCUAAUGCAGCCAAGAACUUAAAGCCAAUCUGAAGAAAUGUGGGACAAGCUGACAAAAAAAAAAAGUAUCACAGGCAGAAUAACAGUGAAAGAUUUACAUCAGUUUCCCCCUCAUAAACUUUAGUCAUUUGCCUUGAAGUUACUCAGAAGUUACACCGAUGUCUAUUAUUUUCUUAUUCAGUGGUACAAAUGUUCAUACUCAUCUCAUCUGUGUAAAUAUACAUCCGUGUAAAUAUGAAAGUGAUUAGAUCAAAGAAAACUCUCUUUUUCAUUUUCCUGAAGUAACUAAUUUUAUCAGCUAAGCAUUAAGUGUACUUUUUAAAAUGAUCGUUCAUGCUUUCGCUGAUAAACAGGAGAUAACUAACUGCAUGUCCCAGGCAACUACUUUAUUGAAGUGAGAUGAAUGAUUUUCUGAAGGCUCCCUUCUUCAUGAGCUGCAGUGAUCCUAGACAGUUAUUCUAGACAUUUGGUGUUUAUACAUCUCAGUGUUUUCACACAACUCUGUGUUCCUACCCUUUGUGUAACUUUUAUAUGCAAAAACCAUUGAGCAAUGUAAAAUAUGACCCCCAUUUUAGAACAAUCCCAAGAGAAUUUUUUUUAAAAUAAAUUUCAUCUACCUGGAAAUGUUAGGACAAAAGUAAGAUUUUCAUGGUUUUCCAUUACUCCCUGUAAAAGCAGAGAAAAAAAGUCUGUUAGAUUUACGAAUAAAAGGAAAUUGGCUGAAAAGAGCUAAUUCAUAAUGAAACUAACUUGUCAGACUAUUUUCAUAGCACUAUCUGUAUAAAGAUUAAAAAAAAAACACCUCUCAUAAAAUAUUAAUGCUUUAACCUUUAAGUUAUUAGCCCUUAUAAAUUUAAACUACUGCUUACAUUGUAAAGAUGGAAAAGUUUAAGCUAACAGGAAGAGUUGAAAACAGGGCUUUAUCUUCUCUCUCCUAUGGCUGGGUUUUUAAUAUGUUAUCAUUCUUCUCUCUCUCUAAAUCAGUAAAUUAAGUGAUGUUAAUCAUCUCAAAAGCAGAUACACUUCUAGUACAUGUGUAACACACACUAAAGACACAUUUGAGCCUCCCUCACAAGAGAAAGGAUUGAUCAAAUAUAGCUCUUCAGUGUGAGGAGGCACUGGGACAUCAUUUUUUCCCAGUACCUUUCCCAAAACAGUAGCAUAAAAAACAUCUCUAAAAUGCCUGUAGUAGAAAUCAGUAUAGCCAGUAGGAUCUCAACACAACAGAUGAAACUGAAGUGCAUAAAUAGUGAAUUGCACUGCAGCCAGCUUUUUAGUUUGUGGGAGCUUCAAUUACCACAUUGUCCCCUUUACAAGGCAUGAGGAUGCAACACAUUUGUGGCAGGGUAAUGUGAGCACUCCCUGCAUCCACAUCACAGGCUGAACCCAUCACCACUCACAAAGAGCACAUGCAGCUGGGGUAAAUUCAGCCUGGACAUUUCAGUCGUCUUUGGCACCGAGGAAUGGGAAUUUUUUAAUGUAUGUUAUUCUUCUGAGGAAUGUAAAAUAUUUUCAUUUGGGACUUUUAAAUCCUCAAAUGUACACUCUGUGAACUGUUGACAUGAUGUUUUCAGGUCAAUAUAUCAACCAGAUUCCAAGAAUCCAAGAAUCAGCAGCUGCUAUUGUAAUUUUCCUAUGGGCUUCUAUUAAGUUGUUUCAAAAUUUGUGUUAAAAAUCAUGCUGGGAUAGAUCUGGAAAGGUGAAACAAGCAAGCAAAAAACUUUUGAAAAUUAUAUUUGCUAUGCACAAAUGAUUACCCAUUUGCACAUUAAUAUGCACUAUUUUGUAUGUAUGUGUAAGAGAUUAUUCUUUUAUAUCAUUGACUCAAAGUUUGCUGAGGAACAAGUCCAGGCAAGUCCUGGGCAAAGGCAGAGAAAUCUUUUGUCUUGAGGACACUGAUGGACAGGUCCUGGCUAAGGAUUGUGAAAUCCUCUAAGGAGCACAGCUGGACAAGGCCAGGGGCAUCGAGAGAGAGAUAAGCUGCUGCUAAUGGCCGGGAAACGGUCUUUUUGUGUGGACUUAUCUCAAGGAAAAUGGCCAUCUCAGGAGGUAUGCACAGGACUCUUGCUCAAGCACCCAGGAAUGUCACGUAGGCAGCAGAAAAUGGAGGAUAAAAGAGGGUCCAACAACCACGGCUAGGUGGAGGCUGAUCUCUCACCACGACACGAGCUUUCUGCCUUCAGAUCCUUCUCUACGGACCGUUUGCUGACGGACUUCCCUGGGCCUGCUACCUGAGACCUGCUGCUUCCUCCCUGACCUGCACUCUCUCGUUGCCCAAGACCGGCCUCGCUGCUCCUGCCCUUCGGCGUCGGAACGUCGUGCUACAGGACUGCUGCCGGAUUCUGGUGGUAACUAUCCCCGCUUUAUGCAAUUCUUGCCUCUUUCUAUCUUUUCCAUCGCUCGCCUUCCCUUCCCCAUCACCCCAACCCUUAAUAGUGUCCGUCCUCCCCUUUCCCCAUCUCCCUUAUUAACAUUUGUAAUAAACUGUUCGGACCAACAUUUGAACCGUUGUUUCUUAAUCUCACGCCGGGCAUACAUAUUUCAAAGAACCUCCUCUCCCUCCUAUAAAUUGGAGUGAGACAGUAUGUAAGCAGGUACUUAUAUUUAAAAUCAAUUAAAAAAUCUCCCCUAAGAAAUCAUGUCAUGUUACACACAAUUAUAUGCACAACAAUGCAUUGCACAGGGGCCUUGUAUCGCUGUUUCUUUGGCAAAGCAGUUGACUAGUACUGCAACCACAAUAACCACUCUUUCAAGGUUGUGGAAAACUCUGGAUUUCACUGCAACUCUUUCCUCCCUGAAUAUUCAGAUUUCUCUUUAAAGUUAAGGAGGACGUAUGAGGGCAUGAUGUGCAUACAGGUAACAUUCUGAUAUAAAGGCUUUUUUUCAUACAGCUGAGAUGCAGGCAGUGGUUUGGCUGUGAACACAUUGAAGAGGAGAACUUAUUUAAGAGUGAACUCAGGUCAUAUGUUUCUAAACAUUCUUCAGCAAACAUUAGGCAUCUUAACAGUGUAUGAUGGCCUUGUCUUCCUGCGUAGACUUGACUGAAUAAAGAAUGAUCCCUUAGAUAACAAGAAUUUACCUACAGGCUCUAUAGGAUUCCUAUAUUUAGCCAUAAACAACGGCAGUAACAGAACAUACUGUAUUUUCCUUCUGCUCCAGUUAGUGUUAAGUGUUACAAAAAUUAACUGAUACAGACUGUUAUAUUCUUUGCACCAAAAUCUUUGUGGAAAGUGACAUCGCCAUGUGCUUUGUAACUAGCGAGACAUUUUUUUUCCCCCAUGUACUUUGUUUCUAAAUAAAGCAACAACUAUUUUG